RNAcentral lists this long non-coding RNA (437 nucleotides) under Citrus x clementina. RNAcentral's name for it is "Citrus clementina (C. clementina) long non-coding RNA (CCLE_LNC003602)". The record is from RNAcentral. Lineage: Eukaryota; Viridiplantae; Streptophyta; Magnoliopsida; Sapindales; Rutaceae.
CAAUUUAAAGGGACCCACACUUGGCUUUCAUAAUUACAAAAGGAAUCCUAAAGCAAUUCUAAGAGUGAUCACGUGUGAUAACAAAUCAAGUAAAAGGCCAAGCCUUUUGGCUUUAGGAUUUAAGAGGUGGGGUCCAUUUUAGAUAUUAUAAAAGAGAGUUUUUGCUUUUGGAGGGAGUGGCUGGACGGAAAGAAGAAGAGAGAGCCACCAGAAGGGAGAACUGCAGACGUAAGGAUUCAAGACAGAGAAGAAAAUCUGCAGCAAUUCGGCUUCCCCAUGGCUGAAUUUAUUUAUUUUGUUGCUCCCAAUUCAAGUAUGUCUAGCUAAUUUUCUUAUACUGAGGUUAAGGAUGAAACCCUAUUCAAUGAAAUAAUUAUAUCUUUUUAUUUAAUUAAUUCCCUAUAUAUGUUCUUUGAUGAUUAUGGUUUUUAUUUCAC